RNAcentral lists this ribosomal RNA (489 nucleotides) under uncultured bacterium. RNAcentral describes it as "SSU rRNA". It matches the Rfam family "Bacterial small subunit ribosomal RNA", at positions 26 to 518 of the family's 1533-position model. The record is from RNAcentral.
AGGACGAACGCUGGCGGCGUGCUUAACACAUGCAAGUCACGGGGGAGUCGCAAGACUCAACCGGCGAACGGGUGCGUAACACGUGAGCAACCUACCGAUUUGCGGGGGAUAGCUGGCCUAACGGCCAGGUAAUACCGCAUACGCUUUCCGAGUCUCCUGGCUUGGAAAGGAAACCUCCGGGGCAGAUCGAGGGGCUCGCGUCCUAUCAGCUAGUUGGUGAGGUCACGGCUCACCAAGGCGACGACGGGUAGCUGGUCUGAGAGGAUGGCCAGCCACAUUGGGACUGAGAUACGGCCCAGACUCCUACGGGAGGCAGCAGUGGGGAAUCUUGCGCAAUGGGCGAAAGCCUGACGCAGCGACGCCGCGUGGGGGAUGGAAGGUUUCGGCUCGUAAACCCCUGUUGCCCGGGACGAAAAGCCUCGACCUAACACGUCGAGGUCUGACGGUACCGGGUGAGGAGGCCCCGGCUAACUCUGUGCCAGCAGCCGC